RNAcentral lists this long non-coding RNA (657 nucleotides) under Gallus gallus (chicken). RNAcentral's name for it is "lncRNA (ENSGALG00010018439.1)". The record is from RNAcentral. Lineage: Eukaryota; Metazoa; Chordata; Aves; Galliformes; Phasianidae.
CUGCUGAAGCCCUUCAGUAGGGCUCUGUGCAUAACUGCUCCCAGCCAGUGGAUGUGCCUGCUAGAGUGCUUCACUGCUCAGCAGCAUCUGGAGGUGACAGCAUCACCAGCCACAUGUGCUGGGAAUGUGUCUCAGGAGCAUGGUUAAACCCACCAAAUAAUGCAGGGCAGACUGCAGCCUGCCAAGCUCGGGGACGGAUCCUCAGCUGAUGUUCUGCAGUGCUGGCUUCUACCAGUGCAUUCUGAAGCGACGGCUGCUUCUCCCACGGUGACGUGCUGCCAGCUCCCCAGCCAGGCCACUGCAGCAGAGGGGCACCGGAGUGACUGGAGCACCGUCCUACCCACCUGAGCGGUGCUCAUCCUGUGCCAAAGUCCACUUCGUGUCAUUGCUGUGAUUAGAGGCAGUAUCUGAAGAACCCCAGUGAGCACAGAGUGCCUCGUGAUGUCAGUCCUGACCUGAGUGGAUGCGAUGCAAUCACUGGUUAUGUGCACAGAAUCCUCCCCACGAUACGAAAUACGAUGACACAGAUCCCCAGUCCCUGUCCUUCACAUUGCACACCUACUUUCUGUACCUGAAGGAACUGGGCUGUGAAUGUUGGCCAUGGACACACAGAGCUGUAAGAACCCAGGGAGGGGAGGGGGUAAAAACAGAAAAGGU